This 681-nucleotide ribosomal RNA is filed under the name Triticum aestivum (bread wheat). RNAcentral's name for it is "partial small subunit ribosomal RNA". Lineage: Eukaryota; Viridiplantae; Streptophyta; Magnoliopsida; Poales; Poaceae. The record is from RNAcentral.
AUGCAGUUGGUAACGAGCGGUCGGACGGCGGUAAACAUAAAUGGGGAAGUCGGUCCUUAUUUGUCGACGGGCCAAGGGGUCCGACAGGGAGACCCGACAUCCCCAUUUCUAUUCAAUCUUGUGGUUGACGCCCUCGCCUCGAUCCUUGACUUGGCUAAGCGCGCCGGCCACAUCAAGGGGAUUUGCCCCCAUCUUGUGGCCAAUGGAGGUCUGACCCACCUCCAAUAUGCGUACGACACCAUUAUGAUGGUGGAAGGAUCGGAUGAGGAUAUUCAGAACCUCAAGUUCCUCCUCAUGUGCUUCCAGGAAAUGUCGGGGCUCACAAUUAACUUCGCUAAGAGUGAGGUGAUGGUCUUGGGAUACUCCCAGAUGGAAGCGCAGCGCAUUGCCAACCGCUUGAAUUGCCGGUUAGGCACAUUCCCGACCACUUACCUUGGCAUGCCACUCAGUGACAUGCGUCUACUAGAGAAGGACUUCCGUCCAAUAGUCGCCAAGCUCCAGCCUAGAAUGGAGCCCUGGCAGGGGAGAUGGCUAUCUAAAGCCGCUCGAGUGAUUCUGAUGAACUCCUCCCUUAUUAGCCUCUUGAUGUAUAUCAUGGGAUUCUAUAGUCUUCAUGAAUCCCUUCAUCAGGAGGUCACCAAACUUCUCUCCAGAUUCUUCUAGGCUGGAGAGAACAAUAAA